This 404-nucleotide ribosomal RNA is filed under the name Bacteroidota bacterium. RNAcentral describes it as "Bacteroidetes bacterium partial 16S ribosomal RNA". It matches the Rfam family "Bacterial small subunit ribosomal RNA", at positions 355 to 776 of the family's 1533-position model. The record is from RNAcentral. Lineage: Bacteria; Pseudomonadati; Bacteroidota.
UGGGGAAUAUUGCACAAUGGGGGAAACCCUGAUGCAGCGACGCCGCGUGAGCGAAGAAGGCCUUCGGGUCGUAAAGCUCUUUUAUGAGGGAAGAUAAUGACGGUACCUCAAGAAAAAGCCCCGGCUAACUACGUGCCAGCAGCCGCGGUAAUACGUAGGGGGCUAGCGUUGUCCGGAAUCACUGGGCGUAAAGGGUUCGCAGGCGGAAUAACAAGUCAGAUGUGAAAGGUAUGGGCUCAACCCAUGUAAGCAUUUGAAACUGUAAUUCUUGAGAAGUGGAGAGGUAAGUGGAAUUCCUAGUGUAGCGGUGAAAUGCGUAGAUAUUAGGAGGAAUACCUGUGGCGAAGGCGACUUACUGGACACAAAUCUGACGCUGAGGAACGAAAGCGUGGGUAGCAAACAGG